GAUGAAGAACGUAGCGAAAUGCGAUAAGUAAUGUGAAUUGCAGAAUUCAGUGAAUCAUCGAAUCUUUGAACGCACAUUGCGCCCGCCAGUAUUCUGGCGGGCAUGCCUGUCCGAGCGUCAUUUCAACCCUCGAACCCCUCCGGGGGGGUCGGCGUUGGGGACCUCGGGAGCCCCUAAGACGGGAUCCCGGCCCCGAAAUACAGUGGCGGUCUCGCCGCAGCCUCUCCUGCGCAGUAGUUUGCACAACUCGCACCGGGAGCGCGGCGCGUCCACGUCCGUAAAACACCCAACUUCUGAAAUGUUGACCUCGGAUCAGGUAGGAAUACCCGCUGAACUUAAGCAUAUCAAUAAGCGGAGGA
RNAcentral lists this unclassified non-coding RNA (359 nucleotides) under soil metagenome. Its description in RNAcentral is "partial contains 5.8S ribosomal RNA, internal transcribed spacer 2, and large subunit ribosomal RNA". The stretch from base 1 to 120 matches the Rfam family "5.8S ribosomal RNA", at positions 35 to 154 of the family's 154-position model. The record is from RNAcentral.